Molecule: small nucleolar RNA, 107 nt
Filed under: Olea europaea subsp. europaea
Lineage: Eukaryota; Viridiplantae; Streptophyta; Magnoliopsida; Lamiales; Oleaceae
Description: Plant small nucleolar RNA R71
Rfam family: Plant small nucleolar RNA R71
About the family: R71 is a member of the C/D box family of snoRNAs containing the C (UGAUGA) and D (CUGA) box motifs. Multiple nearly identical copies of this snoRNA have been identified in Arabidopsis, and it is thought to function as a 2'-O-ribose methylation guide for 18S ribosomal RNA.
Source: Rfam by way of RNAcentral
UAACCAUGCUGAGGGCAUCUUCUAAGUAUAUCUUUGAAUCUCUCCCAAGCUUCAUAGAAUGGCUCGAAGUCUGACUGUCUGAACUGCCAAAUUUCACUUCUCAAUUA